CCCCUAGAUGUUCUGGGCCGCACGCGCGCUACACUGAACAGUUCAACAAGUCUUAACCUUGGCCGAUAGGUCUGGGUAAUCUUUGAACGCUGUUCGUGAUUGGGAUAGACCUUUGCAAUUAUGGGUCUUCAACGAGGAAUUCCUAGUAAACGCAAGUCAUCAGCUUGCAUUGAUUACGUCCCUGCCCUUUGUACACACCGCCCGUCGCACCUACCGAUUGAAUGGUCCGGUGAAAUCUCGGGACGGCGGCUUGGUCGCUUGCGUCCGACUGCUGAAACUUGAUUAAACCAUAUCAUUUAGAGGAAGAUGAAGUCGUAACA
RNAcentral lists this ribosomal RNA (320 nucleotides) under uncultured eukaryote. RNAcentral describes it as "partial 18S ribosomal RNA". It matches the Rfam family "Eukaryotic small subunit ribosomal RNA", at positions 1470 to 1796 of the family's 1831-position model. The record is from RNAcentral.